CACACGCGUGCCAGGUGGUAAACGCCAAAGGGGGAGUUUCUGUGAGGAUGAUGGAAGAAGAAAAAAAUUUGUUCCUGACGUCAGGUUAGUGAAAGAAUAAAUUUUUAUUUUCAAAAAGAAGAAAAAGAAAAAUAAAAGAUUCCGGAUCGAAGUUUUUCCUGGAAAAGCCUUCACUUCCCAUCCUCCCCUAUUUCACUCUCUAGCUAGCUAGCUCUGUGGGCGCACAGCUCCGGAACACGUAUAUAUACACACAUAAAAGAGGAAUCGUGGUUGGGAUGCGUACAUCGUCUACCACAAGCCCUCUAUCAAUUGAGGGGCGAGAACCGGUGAUGGAACCAGUCAAUGCCCAAAACCCCGUCUAGAAAAAGAAAGAAAAGCUGCUGAAGGCCUUUUUCCCUUCUUACACGGUAAAACGAGUCGGUUCUCCAAGGGUGGAAAAAUAACAGAGAGAAAGGAAGAUCAUCUUCAUCAUCAUGGAAACCCCAAGGACAUAACGUAGAGUGUGACUCUUCGGAUUUUUAUUUUGUCCAACACCUUUUU
Molecule: long non-coding RNA, 540 nt
Filed under: Daphnia pulex (common water flea)
Lineage: Eukaryota; Metazoa; Arthropoda; Branchiopoda; Diplostraca; Daphniidae
Description: uncharacterized LOC124199861, transcript variant X3
Source: RNAcentral